Molecule: long non-coding RNA, 3827 nt
Organism: Pezoporus occidentalis (night parrot)
Lineage: Eukaryota; Metazoa; Chordata; Aves; Psittaciformes; Psittacidae
Exons: 5
Source: RefSeq, a predicted model, not a curated record
CCCAGAGGGAUGGGGAGGAGAAUUGAAUGAAUGUAAAUCCCACAGGUUGAGAUAAAAACUGUCCAGUAACUAAGGUACAAUACAAAACUACUACUACUACCACCAAUAAUAAUAACAAUAAGGGAAAUAACAAAGGGAGGGAAUAUAAAACUGAAAGGGCAAAAAGAAAAGAAAACAAUAAACAUAAGUGAUGCACAAUACAAUUGCUCACAACCCACCAACUGCUACCCAGCCCCACCCGAGAAGCAAUCUGGGCCUUCUGGGUAAUUCCCCCCAGUUCAUAUACUGGGUAUGAUGUGCUGCAGUACAGAAUACCCCUUUGGCCGGUUUGCAUCAGGUGUCCUGUCUCUGCUUCCUCCCACAUUCUUGUGCCCAUUUUCUCUGGCAGAGCAUGAGAGACUGAAAAGUCCUUAAUCAGAGUAAGCAUUACUUAGCAACGACUAAAAACACUGAUGUGUUAUCAGCAUUGUUCUCAGACUAAAGGCAAAACACAGCACUGCACCAGCUACUAAGAAGGAGAAAAAUAACUGUUAAGCUGAACACAGGACAAGAACACAGUUGAUCUUUCCUUUCAGUCCACAUGUGCAGCACUGAUGGAGGUAGCUGGGACACCUGCCUGCAGUAGUGGUGCAGAGAAAUUUGCCACCACACAGACAAGCCGCUUAUCUUGUGUUAGAGAAACCUCAUUUACAAUUUGGGAAAUAUAAACUGGCAGUUAACCCACAGAUAACUGUUUAGGGAAGCCUAAUAGUAUGGGGUGCUAAGAAUGUGCUUUGGCUUAAUCUGAAUCUUUGCCCCUGCAAAUGUUGGAAUAUUUGCAGUAGAUGUCUUUCCACAUGGGGUAAAUGCUAUAAACUCUUUUUUUUUUUCAAGCAUUUGGUAUAUGUAGGUUUGAAUAAAGCCGUUCAUGCUCUGAAAUUAUACUGUUCUGGAAGGUUUCUGCUGUCUAUAUUUAGUUGAAAAAAAAUUUAUUUUUUUUUUUUUUUGUUACUACUGUUUUGGUUAUUGUGUGUCAGCAGCAGACUUGUGUUUCCUGUUAGCCUGGCUUCCUGGCUUACUGAGGCAGCUGAAAGUGGGGUCUGAAAGCUACAGGGGCCAGCUGCCUUAGCUUCACCAGCUUUGCCAGCUGGAGCAAUAUCAUAGGCUUUAUUCUAUCCAACGUGGAGUUUUAUAAGAGACAAGGCAGCAGGAUAGGAAGCAGGGAAGAAAUGGCAUAAAGGAGGAGAAACCACUAAUCUUCAGGUGAGUAGCGCUGCAGUUUCUCCAUGCUGUUUGUUUUCUUUAAAGAUGGGGGUGCAUAUAGUGUUCAGGAAAGUGAGGAACAGUAAUCAGACCUCCUGCUGUUGUGACUAGGGUCAAGGCUUUGCCUGUGUGCCCCCAAGUGGGGGGCAUGGUCCAGGUAAUACUGGGGCUCUGAAGCGCCUCAUAUUCCCAUGGCCGCACCAUAAGACCGUCUUGGCCCCAAACAAACAAGGGCCUCGCCUGCACAAUGUCUCCAAAGGCCUAAUGUCUUUAUAGAUGUGGGUGAGGAUGCUUUCCCACUGCCUUCCAGUGAAGUUUCCUGAUGUUGCCCGCUGGUUACCACAAGCUGACCUUGAAGUAAGGUGAAGCCCCAGAGCAGGUUGACAUAAUGGAGCUACAGGAUGGUGAAAAUAUUCAGACCUUUUCUGAGCAACCCUGCGGGAGUCAACCCCUGGCUCCCAGUCUCAAUUUAUGCCCAGAAAAAUCGCCCAGCUGAUAAAAUUCUCUGGAGCAACAGUGACAUCUUGUGGGUUAAUUUUAAGUGUGCUGUAUAUGGAAAUGUUCAUACCAGUCUCCUUCACCUUGCCUUGGGUGGAAAACAGCAGCCUGAAUUAAAACGGCAUCAACAGCCAUGUGCUUAGCAUACCCCUAGACCUGAUGGUAAAAUAUCUGAUGGAUGGCUAAAGAGCUUAUAAAGUCUUAUGCCAAAGCCUCGCAUGGAAAUUCAGGUAGCAGGAUCAUUUUUGUAAAUAGUAUUUUAAUUGGAAACUGAUUGGUAAGUGGUUAUUGCAUGUAUUUCAUUAAGAAGACACAUAGGAAGCUUACUUGUACAUGGACAACAGGAGGCUGAAGUUUUGUUAACAUGUAUUUUUGAAGAUGCCAAUGUCCUAGUUUUAAUUUGUGAGAAGGCAUCAGAUGAAUGUUGAUUCAGGUCUCCAUUCUCAUCACAGUACACACAUUUUUAUUUUCAUUUUCAUCACUGAGCAUAACCUUUCUACUGUGUUUGCCAAUCUGCUUGCAAGGCUUCAUUUGUUUCCAAUCUAAUUCUCCUUUUUUUUUUUUUUUUUUUUUAUCCUGGCAUAUUGAAUCUGUUGCUCCGGAGGAUUUUUCAGUCCAGCUGGGCUUCAGUUAUUCUCUGAUUUCCCAAGGCUCCAUUUUGAGUCCUACUGUGAUUUGCAUUUGUAGACUUUCAAUGGUGCUUUCUUGGGAAAUAAAGAGUGAAAAGCAGUACAGACUGAUGCAUCUUUGGCAUUUACAAUAAAAAAGACACCAAGUGGGACAAAUCCUGCAUAUCAUCCUUGGCAAAUUAAUUCCUCUGUGGCUUGGCCAUGCAUACAAACAAGUUACUGGGUGAUCACUUGUCACUACACGGAACUGGCAAGCAGGAAGACCCAAGAAAGAUGGAACAAGAGGAGCAGUUGAAAUCCCCAACCAGACAUACCCUGCAAAGCCUACCCAGUAUGGAAGGGCACUGAGUCAUGCACAGCCUUCGGCUGAGAGUUUUGGAGAACACAGCGGGAGACAGAACUACAGAGCAGCAAGCAGUAGCUGUAGACCCCGCCAGGUACCUUACCUUACACAGGGAGUGAUCUGUGUCUGAGUGUCUAAUAGCACACUCUAAUACUUGUGGAAAACGUGUUUCAUUUAAAAAAUUGGUUUUAUUUACUCUUUAGAGAAAAGUACAAGAAACAGUACUCUAUCUUCUCUGAAUCCAGUAGCAGAAUAUUAAUUGGCCUCACUGUGAACAGCAUCAGGCCUUUCUGUUCAAAUACUGGAAUCAUGCCACAAGAACAUAGAGAAAGUCUAUCACUGACAUAUUUUGUGAAGAAAGACAUUCCAGUUUCUGAAGCAAGCACCUAAGCCGUCUUCUGCAAGAAGCUGAGUGAUGCUCCCUGUCAGGAGUGCACCCCAGCUAAGCACUCUCAGUGUAGGGACUAUCAAAGGUUGGACAUGCAGAUGCAACAGCCACACACUGUGGCGUGGGCCUGCGGGAAUAUAUAUGGCUCCUGACAUGAUUAUCUUUUCACAAGGCUAACAAACUGUGAGUGCACAGGCUUCUGGUAGGCUGCAUUUUCAAGAUGUUGGUUCAUUCUCUGUUGGACUUGCUGCAUUCAGCCACACCUUUUCUCAAAGAAGGACACCCCAAAGAAGAGAGGACUAUCCUCCAGCUGAUGCUAGAAGCACUGAGUACAGUAGGAUUAUUUGCUACAUAUUGCAAGCCACAUUACAGACUAACUUGGCUAGCUUUUGCCUUUGCAAAAGUAGAUUUAAUAUCAAGUUUCAUCUAGAUUUAGAAUUUUUCUGAAGAUCUGCUAUCCACCUACUUGAUAUCUAUCCUACAUUUAUGCACUUCUGCUGCCUAGAUUUACAACUGAAUGUUAUAUUCAUAGAUUCUUAUACAAUAUUUUUUGUUUCAAUUUCCCAGUGUGUGGAGUUUGUCUUUGGAUAGGUCAACAGGACCAUGUGACACACAGUCUUGGAGCUUAUGUUAUUUAUGUAUAGUACCUGAAUGCAUCUUUUCCCCCUUUGCUGUUUUCAGCGGUGUCACACUUCGUUCAGUUUUCAGAAAGGCAACUGGCCACAGC